RNAcentral lists this long non-coding RNA (202 nucleotides) under Capsicum annuum. RNAcentral's name for it is "long non-coding RNA (CANN_LNC001259)". The record is from RNAcentral. Lineage: Eukaryota; Viridiplantae; Streptophyta; Magnoliopsida; Solanales; Solanaceae.
UUAGGAGUGGCAUUUUUGUUUUCUUUCCUUUACUUUUUCUUUUGGGUGCAAGCAUUGCUUCUUAACACCAAUCUUAUAAGUUAUGUUUUCUUACUCUAAUUAAGCCUAAUCAAGGGCGAAUUCUGGGUUUUAACACCAUCAAAGACGUGCAUGUUAGCUAAAACAUGUCAAGCAAGCAAUCCCGUUUCGAGCGAAAUUUUAU